AUGAGGCCGAGGAAUGGGUACGUCAAGCUGAAUGUGGAUGCGGGGUUCGACCAUGAUUCACUAGAGGGAUCUGUGGGGGCUAUCAUUAAAGACCACAAUGGUAAUUUCGUGGCAGCGGCGAAUGAAAAACUGAACAUAUGCUAUGAUGCAAUUACCGCAGAAGCAAUUGCAGUAAGGUUUGGCUUGAAUCUAGCUCGUGGCGCUGGAUGCAACAAGAUCGAGUUAAAUUCGAAUAGUCUUGAGGUCAUCAACGCGCUUAAAGAAGGGAGUUCUUCUUCGGUUGCCAGUGCCAUCUUUGAUGACUGUUUUUUUAUGUCCUUAGAUUUUACUCAUAUCAUCUUUGAACACUGCUGUAGAGAAAAUAAUAAAGUAGCUCAUGAGUUAGCUAGAGUAGUUAAAUUCAAUCCUCCUGGUGUUUGGCUGGAUACAGCCCCGGGGGCGGUUAUCCCCCUGACUGUUUCUGAUGCUACUAUUGUAGCUAAUUAA
Molecule: ribosomal RNA, 486 nt
Filed under: Triticum aestivum (bread wheat)
Lineage: Eukaryota; Viridiplantae; Streptophyta; Magnoliopsida; Poales; Poaceae
Description: partial small subunit ribosomal RNA
Source: RNAcentral